This 498-nucleotide ribosomal RNA is filed under the name uncultured bacterium. RNAcentral's name for it is "partial 16S ribosomal RNA". It matches the Rfam family "Bacterial small subunit ribosomal RNA", at positions 30 to 523 of the family's 1533-position model. The record is from RNAcentral.
AUUGAACGCUGGCGGCAUGCCUUACACAUGCAAGUCGAACGGUAACAGGUCUUCGGAUGCUGACGAGUGGCGAACGGGUGAGUAAUACAUCGGAACGUGCCUAGUAGUGGGGGAUAACUACUCGAAAGAGUGGCUAAUACCGCAUGAGAUCUACGGAUGAACGCAGGGGAUCGCAAGACCUUGUGCUACUAGAGCGGCCGAUGGCAGAUUAGGUAGUUGGUGGGAUAAAAGCUUACCAAGCCGACGAUCUGUAGCUGGUCUGAGAGGACGAUCAGCCACACUGGGACUGAGACACGGCCCAGACUCCUACGGGAGGCAGCAGUGGGGAAUUUUGGACAAUGGGCGCAGGCCUGAUCCAGCAAUGCCGCGUGCAGGAUGAAGGCCUUCGGGUUGUAAACUGCUUUUGUACGGAACGAAAAGCCCUGGGUUAAUACCCUGGGGUCAUGACGGUACCGUAAGAAUAAGCACCGGCUAACUACGUGCCAGCCGCCGCCGUAA